GUCCACACACUGAGAUAGCUUAGUCGGUAGAGUAUGAGACUCUAAUCUCAGGAUCAUGGGUUUGAGCCCCAUGUUGGGCU
RNAcentral lists this transfer RNA (80 nucleotides) under Podarcis lilfordi (Lilford's wall lizard). RNAcentral's name for it is "tRNA.Undet". The stretch from base 16 to 72 matches the Rfam family "tRNA", at positions 8 to 63 of the family's 71-position model. Rfam says of the family: Transfer RNA (tRNA) molecules are approximately 80 nucleotides in length. Lineage: Eukaryota; Metazoa; Chordata; Lepidosauria; Squamata; Lacertidae. The record is from RNAcentral.